RNAcentral lists this ribosomal RNA (336 nucleotides) under uncultured Acidobacteriota bacterium. RNAcentral's name for it is "bacterial SSU rRNA". It matches the Rfam family "Bacterial small subunit ribosomal RNA", at positions 32 to 351 of the family's 1533-position model. Lineage: Bacteria; Pseudomonadati; Acidobacteriota. The record is from RNAcentral.
AAUCAACGCUGGCGGCGUGCCUAACACAUGCAAGUCGAACGCGAAAGGGGUUUCGGCCCUGAGUAGAGUGGCAAACGGGUGAGUAACGCGUGGGUGACCUACCCUUGAGCGGGGGAUAACGUUUCGAAAGGAACGCUAAUACCGCAUGACAUCCUGUCCUUGGACGGACGGAGAUCAAAGCCGGGGAUCGCAAGACCUGGCACUCGAGGAGGGGCCCGCGUCCGAUUAGCUAGUUGGUGGGGUAAUGGCUCACCAAGGCUCCGAUCGGUAGCCGGCCUGAGAGGGCGGACGGCCACACUGGGACUGAGACACGGCCCAGACUCCUACGGGUGGCAG